UGCUCAGGCGGGCCCCGCGCUCUUCCAAAGAAACGUGGGAGAGAAAGAAACCCACCAAGCCCCACCUUCCCUCCCGUCCGCCGGAGCGGCGACGACAGCCGCUUCCGCGCAAACUCACUCGCCCGAGUGAACAUCACCAACUCAGGUGGAUAUGUGCCUGGUUGCCUGCCUUACGCUCAGCGCAGCAGCACCACCACAGACCACCAAAGACAACCGCUGACGGCGGACAUACGACGGCCCUCGCCGGGACUGGCAUCCCACUGCGAGGGCCUGACCACCAAGGAAGCAGACCUUCCCG
This 298-nucleotide non-coding RNA is filed under the name Streptomyces turgidiscabies Car8. RNAcentral's name for it is "Streptomyces sRNA 4677". It matches the Rfam family "Streptomyces sRNA 4677". Rfam says of the family: Located in the intergenic region between anti-sigma factor SCO4677 gene and a putative regulatory protein gene SCO4676. scr4677 expression requires the SCO4677 activity and scr4677 sRNA itself seem to affect the levels of the SCO4676-associated transcripts. Lineage: Bacteria; Bacillati; Actinomycetota; Actinomycetes; Kitasatosporales; Streptomycetaceae. The record is from Rfam by way of RNAcentral.